ACCACUCUGGAAUUAGGGACUAAUAACCAGACAGUAUAGUAGUCUCAAUAUAGGAUUGUUCUCUUAGGAAAAUCGAUGUCUAGAGAACAUCGACAUUCAAAAGGAAAACAAUGAAGGCUUGAAUCCGAGCACUGACAUCCCCUGCCAGCCCUUGAGACAGGUGCAUGCAGAACAAUACCAAAACACUUCUCUUUAAAGAAUAACAAAAUGUAUUGAUGCAGUAAUAUCAAUUAAUAAUCAAUACAAUGCAAUCAAUAAACUUCCGACUUCAAACUAAACAGUAACAUGAUUAGAUAUGGUAACAAAUAAGCCUAUAACACAUGAGAGGAAGGUGUGUGUGUGUGUGUCUGUGUGUGUGUGUGUAUAAGGAGAGAAGGAGGGCACAAAAUGGUGGACGUGGGUCUCAUGGAGAGUACGUCACGCGAGGUUUCCAGCCACAGAAUGUGGCUGCGAAUGUGGACGGAGAGACUGGUUAAUGCCAUCUGCCGGUUUAACACAUGUCUCCACUGGUACGAUAACUUAAGGACAAAGUGGGGCUCUAUCGCCAAGUUAUCUGCUCGCCAAAUGUGUGUGCGGGUAUAUUUGGGGUCGUGUGUAUGUGUGGUUAGUACGAGAGAGAGAGAACAGAGUGACGGCACCGAAGCCGGUUUUAGUGAUCGUGGGAGAGAAGGCAACCGUUAGUUUUAUCACUCAGAGACACAGUGAACGGCUCGUAAUCCAUCCGCCAUGGCCGUUGGUUCUUUAAUGGAUAAACUCAGUGUGCCGGUCUCACCCGCGAUGGUGGAAAUAUACAAACAGCACAACGUGGUUGGACACCUUAUUCGUGGUAACAGUAAGUUACAAUAAUACCUUGAGUAUUAUUAGCAGCAAUGAGUGGACUCAGCGGUCCAUAAACUGUACAAGCAAUAACCUUGAUACACAAGAAUAACACACUAUAAUAAUCUAUCUCUGCCCAGACGUAAACCUCUUACUUGAGUCGAGUGAGGAUGCAGGUAGAAUAUGUGUUCAUCCGUCGUUUGACCCCAACUCGGUUCCUCGAGGCUUGGGUGAUGACGGGAGGCCGUUUCCUUCUUCUUUCUUCACUUCUGCAGGCAAAUGGGUGAAGACGCGGACUGCUUGGUGGUCUCCUUCGGAUCCGUUAGCAUGCUCAGUGGAACACAGAGAAAUCUCAGCUCGUCCAAAGAAAUGGAGAUUGUAUGGCCAAAGUUCAGUGCGUGCAGAACAAUGUCCUGACGAGCAAAAUAUGUGAUACAAGAAAGCUUAAAACCAAUGCUUACGAGUAAUUGUCUGCCUUCUUGAUGAGUCGAGUGUAGAAGAGGCUGGUGGAACUGGUGGAGAUGGUGGGAUCGGUACCGAGCACUUCCGAGGGAUAAUAAUGUCUUCUUCUUCAGAAGACUGGAACUCUGGGUACUUGGCAAAUUGGAGAGGCGCUUCAGCUCAGCAAGAUAGGUCUGUUCUCUGUGGUCCACGGACGUCGACAUAUGUUGCAGCAUCCAGUGUUUUUGAUGUGGAAAUGGUUGAGAGAUAAGCAUUUAAUAUCUAAAUAGCAGUGAAGUCAGCAUUUUAAUGUUUCCAAUAUGCUGCUAAUUCUUUAUUUCCCUUGGAUGGUGCUGAAGUUGCUCACCAAGGCUCUCUUAAUUUAAAAUGGACACACUCCAUCACUGACAUCCCUAACUCCAUCCCUGACUACCACUGUUUUAAGUAGUCUUGGAGUUUUCAGCAAUAUUGAAUUGAUAUUUUUUUAUUCCACCCUGGGAGAUCAAUGACAUUUAUUCUUAAUGAGGUGUUUUGCUGCCCACUCUUGUAGAAACCCUGUGCGUGAAGCUGGAACUCAGGCUCCAAACUGCAGUCCUCCACUCUUGACUCAUUGUACUCUAAAUGUUCCUCAGUGUUAUUUUUCUUCCUUUUAUUGUUCCAAUUUAAUAAAACUAUUUGCCCAGUUAUUUCUGCCCAGUAGCUCAAUCAGUAGAGCAAGUCACUAGCAAUGCUGGAAUCAUGGGUUCUAUACCCAGGGAACGCAUGAACUUGAUAGAAUGUAUACCCUGAAUGCAAUGUAAGUCGCUUUUGUUAAAAGCGUCUACCAAAUGCAUAAAUGUUAAUGUAAUAAAACAGUUUGUCCUGUUAUUUAUUCCAUUGGUUCCUGUUUUGAUAAAACUCUUUG
Molecule: long non-coding RNA, 2161 nt
Organism: Myxocyprinus asiaticus (Chinese sucker)
Lineage: Eukaryota; Metazoa; Chordata; Actinopteri; Cypriniformes; Catostomidae
Exons: 4
Source: RefSeq, a predicted model, not a curated record